GACGAACGCUGGCGGCGUGCCUAAUACAUGCAAGUUGAGCGCUGAAGGUUGGUACUUGUACCAACUGGAUGAGCAGCGAACGGGUGAGUAACGCGUGGGGAAUCUGCCUUUGAGCGGGGGACAACAUUUGGAAACGAAUGCUAAUACCGCAUAAAAACUUUAAACACAAGUUUUAAGUUUGAAAGAUGCAAUUGCAUCACUCAAAGAUGAUCCCGCGUUGUAUUAGCUAGUUGGUGAGGUAAAGGCUCACCAAGGCGAUGAUACAUAGCCGACCUGAGAGGGUGAUUGGCCACAUUGGGACUGAGACACGGCCCAAACUCCUACGGGAGGCAGCAGUAGGGAAUCUUCGGCAAUAGACGAAAGUCUGACCGAGCAACGCCGCGUGAGUGAAGAAGGUUUUCGGAUCGUAAAACUCUGUUGGUAGAGAAGAACGUUGGUGAGAGUGGAAAGCUCAUCAAGUGACGGUAACUACCCAGAAAGGGACGGCUAACUACGUG
RNAcentral lists this ribosomal RNA (497 nucleotides) under uncultured bacterium. RNAcentral's name for it is "partial 16S ribosomal RNA". It matches the Rfam family "Bacterial small subunit ribosomal RNA", at positions 28 to 507 of the family's 1533-position model. The record is from RNAcentral.